UACGAAGGGGGCUAGCGUUGCUCGGAAUCACUGGGCGUAAAGCGCACGUAGGCGGAUCUUUAAGUCAGGGGUGAAAUCCUGGAGCUCAACUCCAGAACUGCCUUUGAUACUGGGGAUCUCGAGUCUGGAAGAGGUGAGUGGAACUCCGAGUGUAGAGGUGAAAUUCGUAGAUAUUCGGAAGAACACCAGUGGCGAAGGCGGCUCACUGGUCCGGUACUGACGCUGAGGUGCGAAAGCUAGGGGAGCAAACAGG
RNAcentral lists this ribosomal RNA (253 nucleotides) under uncultured bacterium. RNAcentral's name for it is "partial 16S ribosomal RNA". It matches the Rfam family "Bacterial small subunit ribosomal RNA", at positions 524 to 776 of the family's 1533-position model. The record is from RNAcentral.